GGUAGAUCUUAUACUCAUUACUUUCUAUUGAAGCCACCAAAUCUGAGGAUCGAAGCAAUUAUCGAAGCUCUUCAAGAAAAGAAAGUGGUGAUUCUACUAGAUGACAUAUCCUGUUACUACAACCCGUAGCUACCUUACCAGGAUGGUGAUGGAUACAAGGGAAACAAGAUCCAAUUCUCGGGUCCGUUGGUUUCGUCAAACGUGGAUCAGAUGCUUAAGGAUCAUGACCAUGUUUAUGUUACAGCACAACACAAUUAACACGUGUUAUAGUUUGAACUUCAGGACAUGCAUGUGUUACAUGUGACAUGAAACCCAUGUACAACGUAACACGUAUUAGUGCUAUGUAUUUUUGUUUACUAGUAAUAUGUAAUGUGAGACUCUUCUUGUUUUCUCUAGUACACGAUGUUAAAACGGUCUAGACUUAACACAUUUUCUGUUGGAGGCG
This is a long non-coding RNA of Helianthus annuus (common sunflower), 445 nucleotides long. RefSeq lists it as uncharacterized. The record is from RefSeq and is a predicted model, not a curated record. Lineage: Eukaryota; Viridiplantae; Streptophyta; Magnoliopsida; Asterales; Asteraceae. The transcript is spliced from 3 exons.